CCAGUCCGAGGAUCCACAUUUCCGAAGACCAAGACUCGGCGGGACGUUAUACCUAUUCUUCUACGCUCCUUGAUCCAUCUUCUCUUCUUCCCUCUGCAGUACACUUGGUGGAUAAA
Eurytemora carolleeae is the source of this 116-nucleotide long non-coding RNA. RefSeq lists it as uncharacterized. Lineage: Eukaryota; Metazoa; Arthropoda; Copepoda; Calanoida; Temoridae. The record is from RefSeq and is a predicted model, not a curated record. The transcript is spliced from 2 exons.